RNAcentral lists this small nuclear RNA (115 nucleotides) under Nannospalax galili (Upper Galilee mountains blind mole rat). Lineage: Eukaryota; Metazoa; Chordata; Mammalia; Rodentia; Spalacidae. The record is from RNAcentral.
GUGCUUACUUCAGCAGCACAUUUACUAAAACUGGAAUGACACAUGGAAAGAUCAGAGAUUAGCAUGGCCCCUGUGAAGGAUGGCUACACAAAUCUGGGAAACAUUCCACACCUUU